UGAGUAACCUGCCCCAGACUCUGGGAUAAGCACUGGAAACGGUGUCUAAUACCGGAUAUGAGCUUCAGCCGCAUGGCUAGGAGUCGGAAAGAAUUUCGGUUUGGGAUGGACUCGCGGCCUAUCAGCUUGUUGGUGAGGUAAUGGCUCACCAAGGCGACGACGGGUAGCCGGCCUGAGAGGGUGACCGGCCACACUGGGACUGAGACACGGCCCAGACUCCUACGGGAGNAG
Molecule: ribosomal RNA, 231 nt
Filed under: uncultured bacterium
Lineage: Bacteria
Description: partial 16S ribosomal RNA
Rfam family: Bacterial small subunit ribosomal RNA
Source: RNAcentral